GAUGAACGCUGGCGGCGUGCCUAAUACACGCAAGUCGAGCGAACAGACGAGGAGCUUGCUCCUCUGACGUUAGCGGCGGACGGGUGAGUAACACGUGGAUAACCUACCUAUAAGACUGGGAUAACUUCGGGAAACCGGAGCUAAUACCGGAUAACAUGUUGAACCGCAUGGUUUAACAGUGAAAGACGGUCUUGCUGUCACUUAUAGAUGGAUCCGCGCCGCAUUAGCUAGUUGGUAAGGUAACGGCUUACCAAGGCAACGAUGCGUAGCCGACCUGAGAGGGUGAUCGGCCACACUGGAACUGAGACACGGUCCAGACUCCUACGGGAGGCAGCAGUAGGGAAUCUUCCGCAAUGGGCGAAAGCCUGACGGAGCAACGCCGCGUGAGUGAAGAAGGUCUUCGGAUCGUAAAACUCUGUUAUUAGGGAAGAACAAAUGUGUAAGUAACUAUGCACGUCUUGACGGUACCUAAUCAGAAAGCCACGGCUAACUACGUG
RNAcentral lists this ribosomal RNA (497 nucleotides) under uncultured bacterium. Its description in RNAcentral is "partial 16S ribosomal RNA". It matches the Rfam family "Bacterial small subunit ribosomal RNA", at positions 28 to 507 of the family's 1533-position model. The record is from RNAcentral.